GUCCCUGUAGCGCAAUGGAUAACGCGUUGGACUUUGAAAUCAAAGGUCGUGGGUUCGAAUUCCACCUGGGAUG
This 73-nucleotide transfer RNA is filed under the name Trichonephila inaurata madagascariensis. It matches the Rfam family "tRNA". Rfam says of the family: Transfer RNA (tRNA) molecules are approximately 80 nucleotides in length. Their secondary structure includes four short double-helical elements and three loops (D, anti-codon, and T loops). Lineage: Eukaryota; Metazoa; Arthropoda; Arachnida; Araneae; Nephilidae. The record is from Rfam by way of RNAcentral.